The sequence is a ribosomal RNA, 782 nucleotides long. It matches the Rfam family "Bacterial small subunit ribosomal RNA", at positions 66 to 831 of the family's 1533-position model.
GCGGACAGAAGGGAGCUUGCUCCCGGACGUUAGCGGCGGACGGGUGAGUAACACGUAGGUAACCUGCCCCUUAGACUGGGAUAACUCCGGGAAACCGGAGCUAAUACGGGAUAAUAAAGAGAAUCACCUGAUUUUCUUUUGAAAGACGGUUUCGGCUGUCACUAAGGGAUGGGCCUGCGGCGCAUUAGCUAGUUGGUAAGGUAACGGCUUACCAAGGCGACGAUGCGUAACCGACCUGAGAGGGUGAUCGGCCACACUGGGACUGAAACACGGCCCAGACUCCUACGGGAGGCAGCAGUAGGGAAUCUUCCGCAAUGGACGAAAGUCUGACGGAACAACGCCGCGUGAGUGAGGAAGGCCUUCGGGUCGUAAAGCUCUGUUGUGAGGGAAGAACAAGUACCGGGGUAACUACCGGUACCUUGACGGUACCUCACCAGAAAGCCACGGCUAACUACGUGCCAGCAGCCGCGGUAAUACGUAGGUGGCAAGCGUUGUCCGGAAUUAUUGGGCGUAAAGCGCGCGCAGGCGGCUUCUUAAGUCUGAUGUGAAAUCUCGGGGCUCAACCCCGAGCGGCCAUUGGAAACUGGGAAGCUUGAGUGCAGAAGAGGAGAGUGGAAUUCCACGUGUAGCGGUGAAAUGCGUAGAUAUGUGGAGGAACACCAGUGGCGAAGGCGACUCUCUGGUCUGUAACUGACGCUGAGGCGCGAAAGCGUGGGGAGCAAACAGGAUUAGAUACCCUGGUAGUCCACGCCGUAAACGAUGAGUGCUAGUGUUAGGGGUUU